UACAGAGGUCCCAAGCGUUGUUCGGAUUCACUGGGCGUAAAGGGUGCGUAGGCGGUUUGGUAAGUUUGAUGUGAAAUCUCCGGGCUCAACCCGGAAAAUGCAUUGAAUACUAUCAGGCUAGAGAGUCGGAGGGGGGACUGGAAUACUUGGUGUAGCAGUGAAAUGCGUAGAUAUCAAGUGGAACACCAGUGGCGAAGGCGAGUCCCUGGACGAUUUCUGACGCUGAGGCACGAAAGCUAGGGGAGCAAACAGG
RNAcentral lists this unclassified non-coding RNA (253 nucleotides) under uncultured Verrucomicrobiota bacterium. RNAcentral describes it as "uncultured Verrucomicrobia bacterium contains 16S-23S intergenic spacer region". It matches the Rfam family "Bacterial small subunit ribosomal RNA", at positions 524 to 776 of the family's 1533-position model. The record is from RNAcentral. Lineage: Bacteria; Pseudomonadati; Verrucomicrobiota.